GCUUAGGUAGUUCAAUGGUUAGAACAUUCGCCUCAUAUGCGUAUAAUAUAGGUUCAAUUCCUAUCUUAAGUU
This 72-nucleotide transfer RNA is filed under the name Metschnikowia proteae. RNAcentral's name for it is "tRNA-Met". It matches the Rfam family "tRNA". From Rfam's summary of the family: Transfer RNA (tRNA) molecules are approximately 80 nucleotides in length. Their secondary structure includes four short double-helical elements and three loops (D, anti-codon, and T loops). Lineage: Eukaryota; Fungi; Ascomycota; Pichiomycetes; Serinales; Metschnikowiaceae. The record is from RNAcentral. RNAcentral also lists the same sequence under 1 other name.